GAUGAACGCUGACAGAAUGCUUAACACAUGCAAGUCUUUCGCUAAGCUGUGCUUGUACCGCCUAGCCAAGGCGUUCGGGUCAGUAACGCGUCACGAACUUGCCCUGCAUUCAGGGAUAACAGACCGAAACGACUGAUUAGCCCUUGUCACGUCAGGCUGGCUCUUGUAUAGUCUGUUGUAAAGAGAUGCUGGAGGAGAGCCUCGCGUCCUAUUAGCUUGGUGGUGGGGUAACGGCCCACCAAGGCGAGGAUAGGUAGCCGGCGUGAGAGGGUGGACGGCCAGAAGGGGACGGAGAGACGGACCUGACACCUACGGGAGGCAGGAGUGGGGAAGAUUGGACAAUGGGGGCAACGCUGAUCCAGUAAUUCUGUGUUAAAGAUGAAGUUUUUCGGAUUGUAAAGUGCUUUAAGCAGGAAAGAAAAAAAUGACGGUACCUUACGAAGAAGCGACGGCUAAAUACGUG
RNAcentral lists this ribosomal RNA (463 nucleotides) under uncultured bacterium. Its description in RNAcentral is "partial 16S ribosomal RNA". It matches the Rfam family "Bacterial small subunit ribosomal RNA", at positions 28 to 507 of the family's 1533-position model. The record is from RNAcentral.